Molecule: long non-coding RNA, 306 nt
Organism: Hippocampus zosterae (dwarf seahorse)
Lineage: Eukaryota; Metazoa; Chordata; Actinopteri; Syngnathiformes; Syngnathidae
Exons: 2
Source: RefSeq, a predicted model, not a curated record
AGCAAGUCAGUGAGGCGAGCUGCUUUGACAUUCCGGGGGAACCUCACCGAAUAAAUGGGUGCCCGUGAGCCAUUUCCUGCUCUGACUCAGUCCUCUGCACCAGACGUUUGGGAUAGGUCACCUGGGCCGCCGUGUCGCUGGCCUCCGUCCUCUGCCCGGACCAUGACGACCAAUCCCAGGUGGCUCCAUCAUGGCCUGGGCUCCCGUUUACACCUGGAAGGCAAACAGUACAUACAAUUAAAAGUCUACAUACAUGUUUGCGACGAUCCAAAAAUAAUUAAAUACAUAAAUAAAAAAUCUGAGAGA